This 118-nucleotide ribosomal RNA is filed under the name uncultured bacterium. Its description in RNAcentral is "partial 16S ribosomal RNA". It matches the Rfam family "Bacterial small subunit ribosomal RNA", at positions 1130 to 1246 of the family's 1533-position model. The record is from RNAcentral.
UCCGGGAACUCUGGGGGAACUGCCGGCCUAAGCCGGAGAGGAAGGCGGGGAUGACGUCAAAUCAUCACGGCCCUUACGGCCAGGGCUACCCACGUGUUACAAUGGCCGGNACANAGGG